Molecule: non-coding RNA, 73 nt
Organism: Trichonephila clavipes
Lineage: Eukaryota; Metazoa; Arthropoda; Arachnida; Araneae; Nephilidae
Source: the annotation of a GenBank genome assembly
GUCUCUGUAGCGCAAUGGAUAGUGCAUUGAACUUCUAAUCCAAAGGUCGUGGGUUCAAUUAUCACCUGGGAUG